GGCUGUAGCUCAGUGGUAGAGUACUUGCCUAGCAUGUGAGAAGACCUUGAUUCAAUCCCCAGUACCA
RNAcentral lists this transfer RNA (67 nucleotides) under Marmota monax (woodchuck). Its description in RNAcentral is "tRNA.Ala". The record is from RNAcentral. Lineage: Eukaryota; Metazoa; Chordata; Mammalia; Rodentia; Sciuridae.